CUCCUCCUUCCAAACUAAACUGCACCAAAGCCUUCUGCCCUGUUAGGGGCUGGGAAGGCCAAAAAGGAACAUGCCUGUUUUCUCCUUCUGAGUUUGGAACUGACUGAGAAAUAAGACCAAGAGACAGACCACUGGAGAUCUAAAUAUCAGCUUUAUUUAUUGAUAAAGCUGACCUGAACAGUGUGGCUUGACCUGCAGCCAAAUGGGUUCCUGAAAUGUCCCUUCUGAUCUUUGCUUACCCUGCAAAGCCGGCGUGGCCACACUCACCACAUGGCAGACCAGAAUGCAACUGUCCUGUGGACAGGCUGACUCUAAAAGGACACACAGAGAGAAAAAGCAGGGGCAGAUUCAUCAGAUGGUUUGCAGGUGGCAGUGGCCGAGGUUUAGUCUCACACAACACAACAAAUGAGAAAGGAGUCUUUAAAAAGAGAAGAAAUCUUACAGUAAAUCAUUCUUUGUUGAUUUGAGUUCCACAAUCUCUGCCAGAAACUCUGGAACUUGAGUACUACCAGAAAGAAACAAAAUGUGGUGAGUCCUACAGUCUUUCUAUAUAUAAAAUCUGUAAUGCUUAGACACGCCACCCCAAGGUUCUGCUGGGUAAGGUUUCACUUGCUAUCUGUGGUCAACCAAUAUGCUACCAAGUAGUGAUUGUGCAUCAGUUAACAUAAUUAAAAGUUACAAGAAGUUUAAAUCGCUGAAAGGUAUAAACUUUAAAUAAAUUUUUGAUCCUUAAAAAUCA
This 739-nucleotide long non-coding RNA is filed under the name Sus scrofa (pig). RNAcentral describes it as "lncRNA (ENSSSCG00070023689.1)". The record is from RNAcentral. Lineage: Eukaryota; Metazoa; Chordata; Mammalia; Artiodactyla; Suidae.